This is a long non-coding RNA of Oreochromis aureus, 1160 nucleotides long. NCBI's taxonomy places the organism in Eukaryota, Metazoa, Chordata, Actinopteri, Cichliformes, Cichlidae. The record is from Ensembl.
CCUACAGGCAUCUGUUUGGGUGAUUUUCACCCAGCAAUAGUGAUAGAGGGUAAAGUAGGUUUUGAGUGGAUUCCACUGAGUGUAUAAAAUCAGGCGAUUUUGAUGCAUUUCAAGGGUGAACACAUUAAGGCUCACCAUAUUUACUGUCCCUUGUCAACUACAGUUGUCAUCCUGUCGCAGGCUUAGCGUCUAGCUAAUGAGUAAGACACAGGUCAGUUUGUUUAACUUGCGUCUUCUAUGGCAUGAUCAACUCAGAGUCCUGACCUGUAGUGUGCUCGACAUCCCUACCACUGGCACUCUUGCAGCUGUUCGCGUGUUGAGGAGACUGUGUUUUCCCCAGGGAAGUCUCAAAUGUCCCAGGAAUGGGUGGACUAAAGACCAACUUUCCAGUGUCAUUAUUAUUUUGUUUAGGAAUUUUUUGUUCUUGAAUUCCAAAUUUUUCAGUAAUUUUGAAGAUUUUUUUUUUUGGUUUUUGUUUAGGGUCCUUCCAUAACACUUUUUUUUUUUCAUUUUGUUAGACAUGGCACAGUUGAAAAUAACAGAAGACCACUCUAAUUUGUCAUGUGUUGUCAUAUUUUGAUAUAUUUUGAUGAUAAGUGCUUUUUUGGGGGUAUAUUAUAUCACAUAAAAAUCGCCCGGCGUUAGUGAUAGUAUUACUAUUUAUAGCGAUAGUGUUCUAGGGUUAAAUCAGUGACACCUGGGCCUGUUUCACAUAGAUCCAGGGACAGGGGAAAGUCAUUUCCACGUUUCCUUCAGCCAGCGUUAGGGCUGGGCCAUAUCAUACCAUUCACGGUAAUACCAGUAUAAUGUUAGGCAGUGAUACGAAAAUGAAAUUUUUCUAUAGAAUAUGGGUAAAACACGCAUGCCCAGUGCCUUUGUUUUUGUUUUUGUUUUCACACACUGCUGAGUUUGUCCUGGUGGAUCAUCAGGGGUGCAAAGCCUCACAGAUGAUGUGCAGCAGUGGGUCCCUCAGUCUGUCCUCACUCUGGACACUUGCAGUUGUCACACAUGGAAAUCAAAUGUGUGAUAAGCUGCAGGAUUCAAACACAAGUGUAACUUAUAAAUACAUGUUCAUACUUUUAUUUCACAAUCAGAGAGAAAGAAAAAGAGAGAGAGUGCAGGACAGACAGACAGGUGACAGUAUCAGGUGUAUAGACUGC